UAAAUCGCUUUGGGUGUGGGCAUUUAAUAGCUUCUACACAGUUACACUUAAUAAACUUAAUAAAAAUCCGGCUUCAGCCCUUCUACACUUGAAUUGGCAAUUAAAGUCGCAUAAAUGUAUUUGUUUUGCUAUUCACUGCUUUGUUGCAGUUAACAUUAUUAUUGCCAGACAUUGGAAGUCUUCUAACCCAUUCCAUAAAUCCCUUUUGAUCGAUCAAAUCAUAUUUCAACUGACAAUGGAAAAAGACAUCAUAAGUAAUAGGAUUGUUUUUUCCAAAAAAAUAGAUUGGUACUCCAACUGGUUUCAAAAACGUUCCAACAUUUAUG
Non-coding RNA from Pelobates cultripes (western spadefoot toad), 326 nucleotides. NCBI's taxonomy places the organism in Eukaryota, Metazoa, Chordata, Amphibia, Anura, Pelobatidae. The record is from the annotation of a GenBank genome assembly.